UUAAAGGGCUGCAGUAUAUUGACUGUACAAAGGUAGCAUAAUCAUUAGUCAUUUAAUUGAUGACUUGUAUGAAGGAUUGGAUGAAAUAUAAACUGUCUCUUAAUUAUAUUUAGAAUUUAAUUUUUUAAUUAAAAAGUUAAAAUAAAUUAGAAAGACGAGAAGACCCUGUAGAGUUUUAUAAAUAAAAUUAAUUGAGAUUAUAUGUAAAAGUUAAAAUUAAGAUUAAUUUAUUUAUUUUGUUGGGGUGACAGAAAAAUAUAAAAAACUUUUUAUAUAUUUAAAACGUUGAUAAGUGGUUAAAUGAUCCAAUAUUAUUGAUUAUAAGAAAAAAUUACCUUAGGGAUAACAGCGUAAUUUUUUUUUUUAGUUCGUAUAAAAAAAAAAGUUUGCGACCUCGAUGUUGGAUUAAGAUAAAAUUUAAAUGCAGAAG
This 430-nucleotide ribosomal RNA is filed under the name Sesamia typhae. RNAcentral's name for it is "partial 16S ribosomal RNA". Lineage: Eukaryota; Metazoa; Arthropoda; Insecta; Lepidoptera; Noctuidae. The record is from RNAcentral.